UGGCGGAUCGUCUAAUGGUAGGACAGAGGUCUCUGACACCUCUAAUCUAGGUUCGAAUCCUAGUCCGCCAGCCA
Molecule: transfer RNA, 74 nt
Filed under: Gammaproteobacteria bacterium
Lineage: Bacteria; Pseudomonadati; Pseudomonadota; Gammaproteobacteria
Also listed under: 1 other name
Description: tRNA-Gln
Rfam family: tRNA
About the family: Transfer RNA (tRNA) molecules are approximately 80 nucleotides in length.
Source: RNAcentral